RNAcentral lists this long non-coding RNA (20150 nucleotides) under Nicotiana tabacum (common tobacco). Its description in RNAcentral is "long non-coding RNA (NTAB_LNC003661)". Lineage: Eukaryota; Viridiplantae; Streptophyta; Magnoliopsida; Solanales; Solanaceae. The record is from RNAcentral.
ACUCCCAAGGUCUAUUGGAUUUCAGGUACGGGUGGUUAGACAAAUAUAAUUAUACUCCACUGUCUUUUAUUUCAAAUUUAGCUCCUCUCUGGUGCUAUGGUUAAUAACAUGUAGUCCGUAUAUAUUAAGGGAAAUACAAUUGAUCUCUUCCUAUCAUGAUUUACUUCGUACUGCUAAAGGACCUUAUAGGAUGAACUUCAUUCAAGUGGUCUCUUUCAGGCAUAAACAGAGGAAGAAUAUACUUUUAUGUAACUACUAAAGUGGUCUCUUUAUGUAACUACUACGGGCGGCCCUACCCUAAGCAGGUAAAGCAACUGAUUUAGGCUUUAUAUUUGUGGGAUGCCCCAUUUUUUGUUACACCUGAUAUAUUAUAUGCUUUAUAUGUUUCAAUUUAGAUGAGUUUGUUUGACUCGCCACGAAGUUUAAGAAAAAAAAAAGACUUUUAAAACUUGUGGCUUUAAAAGCUUAAAGGGUAAAAGGAUUUGCAACUAGUAUGAUUACUGCCAAGGAAAUUGCAUUUGAAAUGAAAAUCAAACCUGAACUUCGUAAGAAACGUGUGAUAUAAAGAAAAAAUAAUAAUUUGACGAGAAUAUAGAUAUUGAAAUCUUAAAAUCUCUCGAAGAGCCCCUUAGAGUUAAGUUAUUUUUAAUACAUAGUAGACAAGAUUUUCACUUCAAAAUCAAUUUGAAUAAUUCCAACCAUAUGAAAAUAUUUUUUGUUUUCUAUUUAGCGUAAAAACUUGAGAUCACUAGAUGAUGAAAAUUUAGAAAAAUACUGCCUUAAUCUUGAGUAUUCCUUGAAACAUAAUUAUCAAUCUGAUAUGAUGAUGGUUUAGAUUUAUUUUUUAAAUUAAAAGUAUUAAGGAAAAUAGUACAACUAGAAGAUAACAGUUUAAUUGAUAUACUGAAUCAAAUAAAAAGAUUUGAUUCUUUUUCAAAUGCUUAUAUUGCUUAUAGAAUAAUGUUAAUAACUCAUGUUACUGUAAAAAUUGAUAAAAUCUUAACUAAGCUCAAUAAUGUCCGAAGAGAUAACUAUAAUGUCAAUUGAGAAAGAAUUGUUCUAAAAAAAUUAUUAAUAACUUUGCGUCUAAAAAAAUUAGAAAAAUGGAUUUCAAUUUAAAAAAAUAAUAAUUUUAAAGAUAAAUUAAAGCCCUCGUAAAAUUUGGCUUUAGGUCACAAAAUUCGUCGGGCCGCCUGGUAACUACUGACUAGAAGUGGCAUGAUUUAUUGGUUCUUAACUGUUGUUUUGUGUAAUUAUCAAGCUGGUGACUUAGAUUGUAUAGCCUGUUGUACUUGAUAAGGUAGUUUGAUAAGUUGGAGAAUUUUUGUAUCUCCUGCUAUCUUUUGCGAGGUAAGGGCGCUAUGCCACUAUGUCCUCCUUAUAUGAUGUAUAUUUUGCUGGAGUGAAUGAAAGGGCUACGCUACCAUACGGUGUAAUUAUAUUUAAAAAAAUAAUUUAAUUUGCAGUAGUAUCAGAUAGUUGGGUGAAAAUCCAUAACGGAGCUUGCUCUGAAUUUAUACUAGUUAAAUAUAAUAUUGAGUACAUUAUUCAUACCACUUAUUGCUUUCUAACUUAUUACUUGGAAGGGGAGGCAAAAAAGAAAAAAUAAAUUAAAGGGGGCGGGUAUACUUUUUUUUUGGGGGUGGGGAUGCGAUUUUUCUAAGUAAAAAAAAAGAGGGUGUGUGGCUAAGCUUAUAAGUUGGUCAAACUAACUUAUAAGUUUUUUUUAGUUUAUCUAUGCAUUUGGUAAAAUCAAAAGUGAUUAUAAGCCAAAAUAAGCCAUAAGUCAUAGGUUGGUCACCCCCAACUUAUCAAAUUUCAGCUUAUAAGCACUUUAGAGUUUGACCAAAUAUUUUACUAUUUUGUCCCUAGUAUUAUAGUAUCAUAAUUCCUGAAAUAUACUUUAUAAAAUAAUAUUAAUCCUGACCCUCUUCUUAACGUCUUUCUUUUACCUUUUUCACGUCUUUUCUCCAAAUUCAGUAACCCUGCGGCCAUCAUCAAGAAACUAUAUUCAAGUUUUGAAGCUUUUCUAUGUCAAAACUCAAAAGCAAGUGAGAAAGCUGCUCGUUUAUAAAUCACUCUUGUUUCGUAAUGAAAUUGUUUGCAUUGUUUCUUGCAUACCGAACUUUUGCUUGCAACUCGUGAUUACAUUGCUGCGAAUUUAUGAUAGUUGGAUGUAUUAAUCUAAUUAACAACAAUCAAGCUUUCAUUAAUUGCAUAUUAUUUUAUACAAAUAUUUUAUGUACUUUUUAAGUAUGUUUUACUCACAAACUUUAGUAAAAACAUUAAUUAUUAUAUUAAAGAUUAUGAUUGUUGUUUAACUUUUCAUAAAAUAAUUUAUAUUUGUAAAAAUCAAUUUUGUGUUAAAAGUACAAUGAGACACAAAUUAUUUUAUAUUUGAAUCAACUUUUAAUUUAAAAUCUUGUAAAAAUUACGUUCUUAUUAUGAUAAAUAACUUUAAGGGCAUUUAAGUUAUUUUAACAGAAAAAAUACUUAUCAUCACUUUUUCCCCAAAUAUUUCAGCUGCUUAUUAUUAGUUUCAGCACUUUUAUUCAAACACAUAACUACUUAUUCAUUAAAUCAGCUUCAACACUUAUAAGUAUUUUUAAACACUUAAUGCUUAUAAGCUAAGCCAAACGGGCUCUAAGCAUAUUCAUACUAGUUACUUUUAUAACAUUUAUUACUCUAUCUUUAAGGUUAUCUAAGCCAGAAAAUAUUAUUUACUGGUAGUUCAUUAAUAUUGAACUUUUUCAUUGAGUUUAACAUGCAUAAUUCCUUUCUGGGGACAAUUUGACAGGAAAAAAGGCAGGCACGGACAAUUUCAUACCAUAUAGUGAAUUUAAUACUACAUGAAAAAACCGCAUAUAGAAACGCGUAAACUUCUAUUAUUUCCUAUAAAGAUUUUCAAAAAAGUAAAUUAUACAGGUUAACUUUUUUAGGUUAAUUGUAAGGUAGAACUCUAAGGAAGUGGAAAGUUGAAACUACCACCAUGAUUUUGGCCAAAAGAGUAAAUACCAAUAUUUUAAAAGGUAUCCAAUCUUGUCGUCUAUUUUUAUAAAAAUAAUAUUGCAUGUGAGACUCUUUCGAUCUUUUAAAAAAUAAUAUUUUUCCAUGUCUCGUCACCAGACACGACAUACCCAACAAAGAUAACCAAAUAUAUAAAACGUAGCAAACAUGGGAUGGAAUUGUUUCUCCGGGCGAAGGAAUGUCAAGUUUGUCGUGUUAUUUGGAAAUACAGACAUUCAUUUUAGAGUUUAAAUUAAUUCCUUUACACUCGGUUCAAUUUUUAAUUACACUAUUAAAUCACUUAAUAAUUACAUGUAACUUCUCAUAAAUUAUACUUUUAAAGUCAUUAAUAAACGUUUUAUAUAAUUAUAAAUGAUUAUUAAAUUAAUAGUAUAUUUAACCUGUAACAUGUAAAUACUAGUUCAUCUAAAAUUAUUUAACAAUAACUUUCUAUAAAGCACAGUAAAUAACCUACAAAUCAUAGUAAAUAAUUUAUUACAGCUGCGAAUUAAAUUACCAAUAAUGUAAAAAAGUUAUACUAUCGAUCUAUAUAAUUUAAAUUCCUAAUUUAACUAUACACUAAUAGUGAAAAAAGUGUUAUAUAUUAGGACUCUAAGAGUUUAUCUCAUAUUUGUAGUUAUCUCAUAUAUGUGAUGGACUCUUAAUACUUAUCUUUGUAGGUGAUAUACUUAUCCUAAUGUAUGUAUCCAUAUCAUAUAAAUACAAGUAACAGUGACUCUCUAAUUACUGAGCAAUUUAAUGAAAUCUAUCAUGGUAUCAGAUUAGCCAGCAAAAUCCUCUCUCAUUCCUUCUUCUAAGCAGUCACGUUUUCUUCUAAAUCUUCCCCUCAAUUCCAGUACUUUCCCACACCAUUUUUCUUUACUAUGGCAUCAUCUUCACCCUAUACUUCUAUUCCUAUAUCCAAUCCUCACAACACUAUUCCAUCCUCAAGCCUUACUGUUGCUUUCUCACCUCCCCCUUUAACGUUUUCUCCUCUUAUGUCAUCCCUUUCUUCCAUGGCCUCAUCAGUACCAAGCGAUUUAUCUGCUCCUAGCUUGCUGCCAUGUCCUACUGCUGCUAUUAUGCCACCUAUAUUUCCAUGUGCUGGUUCGUUGGACUUAACUACUGCCUCAAAUUUUCACUCUGUUACUGCACUAGCAGCGCCUAAUGUCACCAACCUGGUAACAAUUAAGUUACAAUCUGUUGAAGAUUAUCUCACAUGGCGUACUCAAUUCACUUCCCUUCUCAUAUCUCAUAAUUUGCUUGGUUUUGUAGAUGGUUCUAUCCCUACUCCACCCCCGCUUCUUUGCGAUGCUACUGUUUCGCAACAACCGAAUCCAAGCUAUCGCUCAUGGGUUUGAAUCAAUCAAAGCGUCCGUUCUUGGAUCUUUGCAACCUUGUCGCGUGAAGUUCUUGUCGACGUCCAUCUUUUACCAUCUUCUCAUAAUAUUUGGCUUUUCUUACACCGUAGAUAUAUGGAUGCUAGCCAAGCUAAAGCAAUUGAACUUAAGAGACAACUCACUACUUUGAAGAAGACGGCAUCUAUGUCAAUUGAUCAAUAUUUGAGAGAAGCAAAACAAUUGGCUGAUUCACUUGCAGCCAUAAAUUCUCCAGUUUCCUCGGAUUUCGUCGAUCAUGUCCUUCUUGGAUUAGAAAAAGAAUACGAUACGCUGGUUGGUAUCCUCACUCACUUCCCUGGACAUGUAUCACUUGAAGCUUUGCAUUCUAAGCUCAUUUUGCAUGAACAACGGUUGCAACGGUUUCAAGAAUCUGAUUCUAUCAUCUCUUAUCAUACAUUUGCUACCCAGAAUGUUCAAUCAAAUUAUUCUAAUAUGUCCAGCAAUGUAGUGCCCUUUUCAAGUAAUCGUGGACGGGGAAGAUCCUCAUCUUUUCGAGGUCGAGGUCGUGGUGGAAGGGGUUGUGGUUUCUCUGGUCGAGGUCCCUCAUAACAGUCUACUCCAAAUAAUCUUGCUCGCAAUGGUCCUACUGGUCAGCCUCCGUCAGGUAUUGGUGGUGCUUCUCUCACUCCUUAUAAUUCACAAUCUGGCAGUACAUUCUCACAAUCCAAUGGGAUCUUAGGUUCUUCACCCUCACCCAUUGCUUGUCAAAUUUGUGGCCAUCCUGGUCACACUGCCUUACAAUGUCAAAAUCGAUUCAAUCAUGCUUUCGUUGCUAAUGAUCUUCCUAAGUCUUUUGCUACUAUGUUUGUUGGUGAAACAAAUGACGCUACUUGGUAUUUUGACACUGCCACGUCCGCUCACAUGACUCCAUCUGAAGGUAAUUUUAUACAAAAGAACCCUUACACUGGCUCUAAUCGUGUUUUGGUAGGAAAUGGUAAAUUGCUUAACAUUGAAAAUAUUGGCUAUGCUCAGUUGCCUUCUACAUCUCGUCCUCUACACUUACAGUCUAUAUUUCAUGUUCCUCAACUUCGCCAUAAUUUGAUUUCUGUUAAAAAGUUAUGUAGGGAUAAUAAUUGUAAAGUUGACUUUGAUGAUUCUUCUGUUUGUGUGAAGCACAAGGUAACGGGGCAACCUCUCCUUUAAGCUUCUAGUAAAGGUGAUGUUUAUCCAUUAUCGUCCUCGUCUGUGACUUCUCCUCCUCAAGCAUUUGUUGCUCUACGUCAAUCCGGAGACAUCUGGCAUCGUCGUUUAGGUCAUAGUGGUAGACGUGUUUUGUCAAGUCUUAGGAACCAUAAUCUUAUUACGCUACAAAAUUCCUUUAGUAAUAAUUGUGUUUCGUGCAAGUUAGGAAAGUCUCAACGUUUGUCCUUUAAUUUAGUUGCUCACCGUAGUUUUUUUCCUUUAGAUAUUAUUCAUUCUGAUGUUUGGAAAUCGCCUAUUUUAUCAAACUUGGGUUUUCGAUAUUAUAUUAUAUUUGUUGACAAUUUUUCUCGAUUUACAUGGCUUUAUCCUAUGAUGAGAAAAUCAGAAAUUUUUCAGCACUUUUGUGCAUUUUAAAAACUCGCGGAGAACACUUUUAACACUAAAAUUAAAACUUUUCAAAGUGAUGGAGGUGGUGAAUUUGAUAAUAAGGCUACGUUUCAACACUUUUCUAACUCAGGUAUUUCUUUUUGUAAAUCAUGCCUAGAUACUCCUGAACAAAAUGGGGUGGCUGAACGAAAAUAUCGCCACAUAAUUGAAAUGGUGCGUACCAUCCUUACAGAUGCUCAUUUGCCAUCUCAAUUUUGGGUUGAUGCUGCUUUUUACGCUAUUUAUACUAUUAAUAGAUUGUCUGCUUCCAUUUUAAAAGGACUUUCUCCAUUUGAAAAGCUUUUUCAUACACCCCCUGACUAUAGUUUCUUCGACUUUUUAGUUGUGAAUAUUUUCUAAAUAUAUCUUCUCAAGUUUCUCAUAAGCUUCAACUAUGUUCUAUCCAAUAUAUUUUCCUAGGUUAUGCUUCUAAUUAUAAAUGAUAUCGUUGCGUAAAUCCUAUAUCUGGUCGUGUUUAUGUCAGUUGUCAUGUUGUCUUUCAUGAAUUAGUUUUUCCAUAUUCUAAACUAUCUCGUCCCUCUACUGUCCCUUCAUCCAAUGGCUCUUCUGAGAUUCUUGUAGUUACUGCUCCUUUAUCCCCUUUGAAGCCCGAUACCCAAUCUAAGUCAAGUAUGUCUCAUUCUACGUCGUCUUCUCCACCUCCCUCUAGUGUUUAUUCCCCGUGCCCUACAUCCAGCUCUGCGGAUCACGUGUCCAUCACCGCUUCUCCUACCGAGUGUUGCUCUAAUGUUCUCUCUUCUUCUGUACCUACCUCACUGCCAACUAGCACUGCUUCUCCUCCUACUUCUAUGCCUCCUGCUCACUCAAUGCACACUCGCUCCAAGUCUGGUAUUUUGAAACCAAAACAAAUAUUUUCUUUGAACACUAUUAUUCAAGAAAUUGAACCCUCUUGUUUUUCUCAGGCAGUAAAAAGUUCGAAGUGGCAGUAGGCCAUGGCAGAUGAGUUUAAUGCACUUUUAGCAAAUAAUACUUGGGUACUUGUUCCUUUUCAACCUCACAUGAACUUAGUUGGUUGUAAAUGGGUUUAUCGUAUUAAAUAUAAUUCGGAUGGGUCAGUUGAGCGAUACAAGGCCUGACUUGUAGCACAGGAUUUCAUCAACAACCUGGCAUUGAUUAUCAUGAAACAUUUAGUCCUGUUGUUCGUGCUACCACUAUUCGCAUUGUUCUCUCUCUUGCCGUUUCUUUUUCUUGGCCUAUUCGUCCACUUGAUGUUAAAAAUGCUUUUCUACAUGGUGUUCUUAAUGAGGAAGUCUUUAUGAAAUAACCUCCAGGUUUUACUCAUCCUGAUUAUCCUCGUCAUGUUUGUAAGCUAACUAAAGCGCUCUAUGGUUUGAAGCAGGCACCACGUGCUUGGUUUUAUCGCUUUAGCUCAUUUCUCAUGGCUCAUGAUUUUAUUUGCAGCAAAUCAGAUACAUCCAUGUUCAUUCACCGUUCAUCAUCUGGUAUUCUUAUUUUGUUACUUUAUGUUGAUGACAUUAUUCCUACUGGUAGUCAUUCUUCUUUUCUUGAUCACUUCAUUAGUCGUCUCUCUAGACAAUUUGCCAUGAAAGACUUAGGUAAUCUUCAUUACUUUCUUGGUGUUCAGGCAAUUUGUUCUUCUAAUGGUCUUCAUCUGUUAUAAUAGAAGUAUAUUUCUGAUUUGCUUCUUAAAUUUCACAUGCAUACAUGCAAACCGGUUCUCACCCCUAUUGCUUCUCGCACUUCUUUUUCUAUUAUGGAUGGUAUUACUUUCAGAUCCUAGUGAAUAUAGGAGUAUGGUUGGCGCUCUUCUAUACUUAACUAUGACUCGCCCAGAUAUUGCCUAUGCUGUUAACAUUGUUUCACAAUUUAUGCAUGCUCCACGUACUACUCAUCUGCAUUGUGUGAAGCGCAUUUUCAGGUAUUUACAGGGUACCAUCACAUAAGGAUUGUUCUUCUGUGCCUCCUCAUCCACCUCUUUUAUAUUGGCCUAUUCGGAUGCUGAUUGGGCUGGUUGUCUUGAUAGUCGACGCUCUACCACAGAGUUUGCAGUAUUUUUAGGCUCUAAUCUUAUCUCAUGGCAUGCAAAGAAGCAACCAACAGUCUUUAAAUCUUCUACAGAGGCUGAGUACAGAGCUAUCGCCUAUACUGUGGCUGAGACAUCUUGGAUUCGUAAUAUUCUUCAUGACAUCGGGCUCUAUCUUCGUAACCCAGUUCAUGUUCUUUGUGAUAAUGUGAGCUCUACAUAUAUGUCUCGUAACCAUGUGUUUCAUGACCGCUCCAAACACAUUGAUGUUGAUUUUCAUUAUGAUCGUGAAAAAGUUGCUCAAGGGGAUCUUGUUGUUCGAUAUGUGCCAACUCGGUUACAAUUUGCAGAUAUUUUCACAAAGGGUUUACCAUCAUCUCAGUUCAGCUUCUUACGUGACAAUCUGUCCGUCAUGUCUGCCAAUCCAGAUUGAGGGAGCGUAUUAGGACUCUAAGAGUUUAUCUCAUAUUUGUAGUUAUUCCAUAUAUGCGAUGGACUCUUAAUACUUAUCUUUGUAGGUGAUAUACUUAUCCCAAUGUAUGUAUCCAUAUCAUAUAAAUACAAGUAAUAGUGACUCUCUAAUUAAUGAGCCAUUUAAUGAAAUCUAUCAAUAUAUAUAUAUAUAUAUAUAUAUAUAUAUAUAUAUAUAUAUAUAUAUAUAUAUAUAUAUAUAUAUAUAUAUAUAUAUAGUAUGUAGUGUAGUGUGAGUUGUGUUAGUUAGUNNNNNNNNNNNNNNNNNNNNNNNNNAAAGUUCAAUUAACUAUAGUAUGGGUAAGUGUGUUGGUUGAGUUAAUUUCAUAAUAUAUUUUGGCUUUCCCAAGAGAAUUAGGGUUAAGUAAAAGUUCCAAAGAGUAUGAGAUUAGGUGAGGUUGUUGGGUGUCCCUUUCUUCAAGAAUCCACAAGGAAUUAUAAUAUGAGAAAAACAUCCAUGCAUGCAUGUAUUCCAAAAUAGUAAACUCCGAGAGCUUAGUUCCAAAAGUGGUUGGGCAAACUAUGGUCCCCUUAUUUUCAUACAAUUUUUUAUAAAGAGCAAAAGAUAGAGAUACCUUUGGUUAUAUAGAUAUGAGAAAAGCUAGCCAAAAUUUCAGAUUGCAUGUGCACCUACUGUUUAUUUAAAUACUCGUGACCUUACUAUUGUAUUGUUUGUGUGCGUACAUUUUGUCGAUUAAAGUGGAUGUUGGCAGUACCAUGUUGGAUAGACAUAUACUGUGGAGGUAAAUAAAAUCUUAAGAUUGGUUUUUCUGUAUAUAAACUUUUUUUUCCAACUUAUAUUUCAAACCUUACAUGAUGUUUACAAAUGGGAUCUGGCCUCAAAGAAUGAAAUUUAUCACUAGAGGCCACCAAUCAAUCUCGGAACUGCGUAUCAAUUUCAGAAUUGCAUAUCAAUCUCAGAGCUACACUGCUUUCUGGAUAUACAGAAAAUUAAAAGUUAAUUAUUUAAAGAAAAACAUUAAUAUAACACGCAACAGAGAGAGAGAAGUACUACUACAGUUACUCUAUUUUAACUAUGGAUACAUAUUCGACGAGGCACAUAGUCGCGCUCCCUCGAAGGGGUGGUAAAAACUUACGUAUGCCCGUUGUUUGCAUAAAACUGUAUCAAGUUACUACAAUUAGGUGUUAAUUGAGGUAAGAAUGAAAAUUAAUUAACAAGUAUUUAGUGAUAAUAGUGUAUAUAAAAAAAUACAUAUUGUUUCUAUACGCGUCAAAAUUAAUAUUGUGUAUGGGUAAAAGUGGAGGCAAUGUUAUCCCGAUUCCCCAAUAAGGAAAUGAGAGGGAAGCACAGUUCGAUGCAACUACAAGGAAUGCGAAGGAUCCCUCGUGUCGGAACUCGAGAAGGGUGAACGAUGCAUCUGGGACCGGGCAUGGCAGAACAACGGACCCGAACCAAGUAAAGUUUCGAGACCACGGGAAAAGGAGAAAUGGUUGGGCAUGACAAGUGGGGAGCUCUAAUAUUUACCCUCAACCGGAUAUUACCGCGAAAAUCCCGUCUAAUUUCAACUGCGGAUCGACAUUUCCCCGAAAAAAAGAUUUUUAUCUUAUUUACACUUGUAUUUGGAUUGAAAUUCUCCUACUAUAUAGAUGAGAGUUUUUAUUUUUAUUUUAACACAUUGUUGACAUGCAUAUCAAAGCAAUAAAAGUUUAUUUUUGUCUUUUAGCUAUUAUUCAAAGUGUUGUCCAUCUAUUCUCUUCUUUAAUUGCAGCUGAGCCUAUAUCGAGGGACCGAUCGAUGCCGAGUUUCAGUGUUCAAUUUAAGAACAUGCUUGAUAGUCAAAUUACGAUUGGUUUGAUCAUUCAUUCUCUCUUUAGUUUAAUUACUUGUUGUUCUUAGAUCAUUCGUAUUAAAUUAAAUCACGUAUCCUUUAAACUGUAGAUAAAUUUAAUUGUCACUCAUUUUUAAGAGUAAAUAGUUUGGCGUCCACCGUGGGUCUAAAGAUAAUAGUGAUGAUUUGAUACAACUCUCCAUAAAACAUCCUGUUUUACGCUUGUCCUUUGAAGUUUUGAAUUCAGGUUAACCUAAGGAUGCCAAAUUCUCAGUCUGCUCACUUGAAUGUGGCGCUGAGUCAGGCCACCACGGCGAGAACAAUAACAUGGUACCUAGCAAUGAUGUGCCCCCUGUUGAUCCCAAUAAUGUCCCAGCCACCGACUCGGCUGAUGCUAACUCAUAGGUUACCAUCAAGAUCAAUCUGCCAGCUAACCUCGAAAAUAGUGUUCGCAGGGCACCACGACCAUCGGCUCAAAAAGCGCCCGAAGGUGAAGGUGAUAGGGUGAGCUUGUAGUUGAUUUUCGAAAUGUUGCAAGCUCAGCAAGUGGCAGUAGCGCAGUUCCAGACCCAAAGUCACGCCCCUAACAGGGUCGACCCAAGCGGACCAGGAAAAACACUAGAAUAGAUAAAUAAGUUGCCGUGGAGCCGGAUGAAUUAGGUCCUGGGGAAACUUCCGAGGUGAUGAAGAUUCUCGAAGCGCUGACAAAGCGGGCGGAGUCUGGAAUGAAAGAGAUAGAGGCCAACGACAAGAAGGUAGAAACUUAUAACUCCAUGGUCGAUCAGAUCCCUAGAGCACCCCCAAUAUUGAAGGGGCCCGACUCCAAAAAGUUCAUUCAGAAGCCUUUCCCCCCGAGCGCGGCACCUAAGCCGAUCCCGAAAAAGUUUUGAAUGUCUGACAUUCCCAAGUAUAAUGGGACCACAGAUCCAAAUAAGUAUGUAACCUCCUAUACAUGCGCAAUCAAGAGGAAUGACCUAGAAGACAAUGAGAUCGAGUCGGUGUUGCUGAAAACAUUUAGGGAAACCUUGUCCAAGGGAGCAAUGAUAUGGUAUUACAACUUACCUCCAAAUUCUAUUGACUCAUUUUCUAUGCUUGCAGAUGCUUUUGUAAAGGCCCAUACCGGCGCCAUCAAGGUCAAAACAAGGAAGUCAGACAUUUUCAAAGUCAAGUAAAGGGUUAACGAGAUGCUUAGGGAGUGGAUAGAUCUGCCCCUGGUCGCGGAUGAUAGGGUCUUUCAGGCAUUUACUCAAGGGCUCAACCCCCGAAGCUCCGUGGCUUCUAACUAAUUAAAGAAAAACUUGGUAGAGUACCCGGUGGUCAUUUGGGCCGACGUCUAUAACAUGUAUCAAUCAAAGAUCAGAGUCGAGGACGACCAACUCAGGGCCCCUUCGGGGUUUAUUUACCCCAACAGAACAAAUGAUAGAUCUAGGAGAAUCAUCGAUCAGGAGACAAGGUCAUUCCAAGAUCGAUACUAGACAUACGGUGCAGAUCGGAGGGAAAAGGGAUCCGGGUACCACCCGACAUGGAACGCCAAGAGAACGAUCAAUGACCGAGCAGUCGGGGCAUGAUGAGCAUAAGUGGUUUUGAUAGUUCACUUGGUUGUAGGGAAGCACCGAGAUUAUCAGAGUAUAAUUUCAACAUAGACGCUGCAAGUAUAGUGUCGGCCAUAGCAUACAUCAAAGAGACCAAGUGGCCUAAACCACUGCAGUUCGAUCUCGCCCAAAGGGAUCAUAGCUUGGUGUGUAAAUACCACUCACAGUCAUAUGACCGAAGAUUGUUGACACUUAAGAGAAGAAGUAGAUUGAUUGUUCAACAAUGGCCACCUUCAGGAAUUUAUAAGCGAACGGGCCAAAAAACACUUCAAAAAUAGGGACGCCAACAAACAGUCGAACAGGAGAAGCCCCAGCACAUGAUUAACAUGAUUAUUGGGGUAGUAGAUUUCUCCCAAGGCUAAUGAUAAAAUGCACCAAAGUUUCUAUCGCGAGGUAAAAACGCACGCGGGAUUACAUUCUGGAAGGGCCAUCUAGUUCAGCAACGAAGACGGAAGGGCAUCAUCCAGCCUACAAUGAUGCACUGGUAAUAUCCCUACUUAUCAACAAAUCUUGGGUUAAAUAUGUGUUGAUUAAUCCAGGUAGCUCAGCCAACAUCAUCUAAUCGAGGGUCAUAGAACAACUGGGAUUACUAAACCAAAUCAUACCAGCGAUUCGAGUAUUGAACAGAUUCAACAUGGCAUGCGAGACCACGAAGGGUGAGAUAAAUUUAAUGGUAAACACUGCUGGGACCACCCAAGAAACAAAGUUCUACGUGAUCAAGAGGGAUAUGAGAUACAACACCUUGUUCGGAAGGCCAUGUGCUCACAGCAUGAGAGCGGGCAAUCAAGAAAAGGCUUCUUUCAUAAUCAAAUUUGGCACCUACUAUUAUAACGUAAUGCCAUUUGGACUAAAGAAUGUUGAUGCCACGUAUUAACGCCUAGUUAAAUGGAUGUUCGAGGAACAAAUAGGGAAAUCAAUGAAAGUUUCUAUUGAUGAUACAUUAGUUAAGUCCCUACGAGCAGAGGACCAUUUGAAACAUUUGCAGGAAACCUUUUACAUAUUGAGGAAGUACAACAUUAGCUAAACCCAGAGAAGUGUGCCUUCAGGGUCAGCUCGGGCAAGUUCCCCGGGUUCAUGGUAUCUAACCGGAAAAUAAAGAUCAACUCAGACAAAAUAAAAGCUAUAGAAAACAUCACCAUAGCUGACAACACUAAGAUAGUACAAAGACUGACUGGGCAAAUAGUCGUGUUGGGCUGGUUUAUUUCGAGAUCGUCGGAUUAGAGCCAUCAGUUUUUCUAAUCAUUGAAAAAGAAGAACGACUUCUCUUAAACUCCGGAAUGCCAUCAAGCUUUAGAAGAGCUCAAGCGAUACCUAUCGAGCCCUCCAUUGUUGCACACUCCGAAGGAGGACGAACAUCUAUACCUCUACUUGGCGGUUUUUCAAUGUGACGUAAGUGGUGUCCUAGUCCAGAAAGAAGAAGGUACAUAAUUUCCUAUUUAUUAUGUUACUCUAACCCUAGGCGAUGCCGAAACAAGAUAUCCAUACUUAGAAAAAUUAGCGCUCGCCUUAUUAAGCGCUUCUAAGAAAUUAAAACCGUACUUACAAUGCCACCCCAUAUGUGUCGUGACCUCGUACCCCCUGAGGAAUGUCAUGCAUAAGCACGAGCUCUCGCGCCUGUUGGCCAAAUGGGUAGUAGAUAUUAGCAGGUAUGACAUUGAGUACAAACCUCAGACUACCAUAAAAUCUUAGAUUUUGGCGGAUUUUGUGACCGACUUUACCCCGGCCUUAGUCCCUGAGGUCGAAAAGGAACUACUGCUCACUUCGGGAAUUAGCUCGGGGAUCUGGACCCUAUUCAUGGACUUCCAAUGCGAAGGGGUCUGGGCUCGACAUCGUAUUAGAACCACCUACAGGUAACGUAAUUAUCCAGUCUAUUAGAACUGUAAAAUUGACUAACAACGAAGCUGAGUAUGAGGCUAUGAUUGCAGGUCUAGAACUGGCUAAGAGCCUGGGAGCCGAAGUGAUCGAGGCCAAAUGUGAUUCCAUCCUUUUCUUAAACCAAGUCAAUGGGACAUUUGAAGUAAAAGAGGAACAGAUGCAGAGGUAUUUGGAUAAGUUGUAGGCUUCCUUACACCAAUUAAAGGAAUAGACUCUACAACACAUACCUUGGAAUCAAAAUAACGAGGCCGAUGCAUCGGCCAACUUGGGGUCAUCGGUCGACUCCGAUGAGCGCGACUCCGAAGAAGUAGUAUAGUUGAUGAACUCGGUGAUAGAAGAAGGUCACGCCGAGGUAAACUUGACAAGCUUGACUUGAGACUGGAGAAACAAAUACAUAGAUUACCCGAAGAAAAGAAAAUUGCCAUCGGACCCCAAGGAGUUAAGAGCCCUACGCACCAAACCUGUCAGGUUUAGCUUGGUUGAGUGGAAAUUGUUCAAAAGAUCCUUUAUUGGGCUGCUAGCUAGGUGCUUGGGUCUGGGGGUUACUGAAUCUGCUAUGAGUUAAGUACACGAGGGUACUUGUGGAAACCACUAAAGAGCAGAAUCCCUGGUUCAAAAAUUGAUUAGAGCAGGUUACUAAUGGAACGAGAUGGAGAAAGAUGCAAAAGACUCCAUUCGAAAAUGCAACGAGUGCCAAAGACACGCCCCAAUGAUUCAUCAACCAGGAGAAAUGCUUCACCUGGUAAUAUCGUCGUGGCUGUUUAUGAAAUGGGGGAUGGACAUCGUCGGUCCCCUUCCAUGCGCGCGUGGUAAAGCCCAAGACAUAUUACUUAUGACCAAUUAUUUCUCCAAGACCAAAACUUAGGCGUUCAAGAAGUUUUGGGAGAAAGAGGUCAUCGACUACAUCUGGGAUCACAUAAUAUGCCGAUUCGGGAUACCGGCCGAAAUCGUUUGUGAUAAUAGAAAGCAGUUUGUCAGCAGCAAGGUAAGUAAGUUUCUCGAAACCAUAGAAUCAAAACGAUCUUAUCAAUACCAUACCACCCUAGUGGGAAUGGACAACCAGAGUUAACGAACAAAACUAUACUCUAAAACUUGAAGAAGAUAUUAAUUGAUUCGAAGGGAAAGUGCAAAGAAAUCUUGCUUGAAAUUUUGUGGCAUAUUGAAUGACUUCGAAGUCAAGUACCAGUGUGACCCCAUUCUUUUUAGUCUGCAGUGCAGAAGCCGUAAUCCCGGUCGAGGUUGAGGAACCAAGCCAAAGGUUCCAGUAUGCUACUGAGAUGUCAAACGGCAAGGCCAUGUCCACAAGUUUGGACUUAUUGGAUGAAAGGCGAGAAGCCUCCCAGGUCCGGUUGGCUGCCCAAAGCAGUAAAUAGGGAGGUACUACAAUCAAAAAGCUAAUCUUCAAAAUUUAAAAGUUGGGGACUUGGUGUUAAGGAAAGUUAUGCUACACACCAAGUAAUCGGUCGACUGUAAAUUUGACAAUUAGGUCUGAAAGCACGUGUUGUACUCUUUUUCUCUGGGACCGAUUUUUCCCGAAGUGGGUUCUACGGCAAGGUUUUUAACAAGGCAAUAGUAAAAGGUGAUAACUUAGUUUCAAAGACCGGCCUGAGGCCAGAAUUGCUGGCCACCCGUACUAGACCAACAGUACUCGAGCCCUCACAAGUUCAGUCUCAGAUACUGGGGGUCGGGGGGGCCAUUACCCCCUAAGUAUGAUCCUUAUAAGGUGUUCUUAUUUGACAUUAAAAUCCAAGGCUCAAUUAUUAUAAUUCAUUGUAAGGGUCAAAUGAUCAAACGAGUCGAACCCGUGUAGCUCAUUCUUGCCAUGGCAGAAAGCUUAUGAGACUCCGAUUAUAUUAUAUAUAUGCAAAGUAAUGAAGGAAAUUUUCCCUUUAUAUUUUAUCAUGUCGCAUUUACACCAUCGAUAUAUUCUUUGAGUUACUUAAAACAAAUAACGGAUCCUAAAUCCUAGAGCCUAUGGGCCUCCCCGAGUCGGGGACUGUUAUUUGAUAAAAAGAUCGGAUAGCUCGGGCUAUCAAAUCCCCAAGUCACCAAGCCUAUUAGGCAGGGACCUAACAUGAAAGGCUAUGGCCAACUCAAAACGGUUCGGAGAUGUCCAAGUCCGUACUCAUAAAGUAAGGUCCUUACAUAAGACUAAAACCUAUUUAAAAGGUUUCCCUAGGUAAAACACCAUCGUGUACAAUUGUAAGAUUCAAGUAUUUGAGGUCUUAGUUUUCUAUCAAGUAUUUCGAAGCCUAAGAAACUUAGAGUUGUUAUAAAGACACAAUAAAACGACCUCAAAAUAAACAAAAAGAAAUGUGCUAAAGAAAACGAAGAAUAAGCUAAGGCAUCUUUGCCUAGUCUUCACCAGAGCCUGAUUCAGUACCAGAACCCUCGUGCUCAUAUAACUCUUUAGCCUUGGCCUCAAGUCUCUUGUCCUCUUCAAUCUCCAUCGACAGAUCGAACCCCCAGGUGUGAAUCUCCUCAAGGGUCUCCCUUUGGUAUAACCACUUUAUGUACUCGACCUUUGUUAUUAAGCAAUCCUCAGUUAUUUCCACAUUAUUUUUAUAUUGGGCCAGCAUCUCCUCGACCUCAGAGGAAUCGGUUGAAGUUGCCUCUAACUUGGACUUCAACGCGGUAUACUCCCUGCCGAGGUCGUCCCGCUCCAAAACUAUCAAACCUAUUUGUGCUCAAAGCAUAUCUUUUUGCCGAGACCACUUGUCGGCCUUAUCCUUCAUCACCCGGAGUUGGUCCUUGACUGAUGCCAGCUCCUCUUUGGUAGCCUCAUUUACCGAGGCCAGAAGGUCCAUCCUACUUCUCAACAUCUCGGCUGAAGCUUUGAGUUCGUUCAUCUUGGCACAGAGCUGGUCAAUCAGGUCUAUCUUCUCUUGGACCUGCGAGGUUGCAUUUUUAGCUACUACUCUUAAUCUCUCAUUUUUAAUCACAAAUAUUCUUGCCUUCUCGACUAGUUUGGCAUGAUCCCAUUUCAUGGACGAAGCCUCCUUUUUAUCUUUUUCCAGCUCAGCUUGGAGAAUAGGGAGAUCCUUGUGGGCCUCAUCUUAUUGCUCGCUGAGAGCCUUGUACAUGUCCUUUUGCCGGACUUGCUCCUUGAUCUCGAACUCGAGUUGCCUGACUUCUAUCCAAGACCGAUGGAAGCUUUCAUGAUGGAGCAUCAAAGCCUGAAAAACAAAUACAUGAGAUCGUGAAGAUACAAUGAAGUUAAAUGAGCUACACGAAGGACAAAAAAAAAAGGAAACUUACCUAGUUUAGUGCCUGUUUUGCCUCGUUGAAGAGGCUCAGAGUGCUAACCUCAUUCAUCUUUGCCUGAUCCUCUUAAGUCACCAAGAAGAAAAGAUAAUUUGACACACUAACCGGUUCAGAAAGCACCCGGGUAUCCCUUGGGAUCAUAUACACGAUCGCUCUUUUUCGGCCGGGAUCCACGCUCGAAACCGAAAACCGCUUCACUAGUAUCGGGCUCAAGCUUGGCCCGUCUACUUUCGCGACACAUAUUUUUUUGGGAUCUCCAUGUGACCGAACCCGGAGUAAUCAUCCAAAACGCCAAUGUCCAAUUCCCCUCAAAGAACAAGUUAAGGGUCUCUUCUACGACCCGUGCCUUCUCGUUUGGUUUCUCCUUUGCAGCGUGAGCCUUGUCGAAUAAGGACUCUAUAUGAGAUGACAAUUCUAUGAUGUCAAUGUCACUGAUGGCUUCCAUCGGAGCGGGGGUAGCUUCUCGGGAGGCCGUAGCCACUGGUUUUCCUUCUGGCUCCCGAGCCAAAGAGGUGUCGACCUCUCGGCCACUUCCCCCCGAUUGACGCCCGCUAUUCUUCAUCAAUGGCCUCCCCGCAGGUGUCAAACUCCAGGUCAUCAUCUUCAGGAUAGUCUUUGAGCCGGUAGAGAGUGUUGAUGACCAAUUUUAACCCUCCCUUUUAAAAUUAAUUUAUUUAUAAUUAAUAAUUUACAGUAAAUAUUUUGAAAUUAUUUUGUAUCAAUAAUUAUCUAAUUUUUACAAAAAUUAGUUAAAUAUUAGUAUUGAAAUUCAAACCUAGUAUUAGUACUACGUAAUUACAAAUAUACUCAUUAUACUAUUGAAAUGAUUUUAAAAUACAUUAUAGACGUUUUAAAUUAAUUUAACAAAUUAUUUCUCAAAUUUUGAUUAAUUAGAUUACUAUGUUGAUAGUUUAAAACUAGUGUUAUAAUUUAGAAAUAAAAUAAAAUAUUUUACAACUAAUUAAUUAUAAUAAUUAGAAGUAAAUUUGAUAUUUAUAACUUUUAUUAUAUUUUAUUGAAAAUAAUUAAGUUUAAUUAAAUUAAUUUUAAAGGGGUUAGAAAACUAAAAGGCUUCAAUUGUAGUUCUUCAAUUAAACACAAAGUGGCUAUUCUUUAAAUCAACAACAUCCCAAUACCCAGACCUAAUGCCAUCUGACCCUGUCCAAACCUGCCCCUCUCUUUCCACUAUGGCAAUCCAUGACAAUCCCUGUGAGCUAAUAGCAGUGCGCCACGUCAUCCAUCUCACUCACUCACAAAAGAAUUACACUCAAUCCUACCCAUCGACCCAUACCAUCAAAGGACUGGAUUUUUUUUUCUCGCUUUUUCCCUUAUUUUUAAAACCCCUAUCAAAUUUUAUUUCAGCCGUUUGAUUACAAGAAUCCAAUGACCACCAUUUUUUCUCAUUAAAUCCUUUUAUUAAUUAUAAAUCUUCAAAUAAUCGGAGCCAUAGAUCAAAAGAUCUAACAUAUCCCCUUCCAUCUCUCACUCUUAACCCUAGGAGACCCACCCCAAAGCCACUAACUAUAAUUCAUUUACCACCUUCCCUGCCGCCUCUCUCUCUCUCUCUUUCCUCUCCCUUUUCUCUCAGACCCAUCACACAAAUCAAUCAAGAGAACCUUGCACAAAUUUGUGCAAGGUCUUAGAUCACCUAGAAUUAAACAUGAAACAUCAAAUCCUCAGAUUUCUCUCGUGUUAUAUAAAAUCAAAGCAUAUGUCGCGCCUCCUUUUUUUCCCUCCGUGGAGAGAGGUCCGGGUUCCGACAUUCAUGGGGGUAAUAACUCAUUUCCUUUUGGGAAUUGGGUAUUUGAAGAGUCGCCACCUAACGGAUUAUGGUGCGUUAGGGCACCUAGAGCAAUUAACUCUUAGACUAGUUUGCAUUACCAAAGAUUAGGGUAAGGGCUCGAAAUGACCUCGAGGGGAAGGUGUUAGGCACCUCUCUCAAUCCACAACUGUGGGUCCCGACCAAACUUAUACUCAUGAAUUAGUCCAUUAAAUAGUUGAAUCAAACAAUUUACAAGUAAAGCACGUUGGAUGUUGUAUAACUCAAAUAGUAAGACAAAGGUUUUGAACAAGUUGUAUACAUAAAGGAAAAUUUAAAACACAAGGAAUUUGGGAAAGGAGGGGUCCUAGGUUGGUUAGCCUACAGGAUCACCCCAUACAAUGUCCGAUAAAUACUCCUCAAUGAGGAGCUAUACGUCACAUUAGCACAUAGUCAUCAUAUCCCAUAUAUACCCUCCCCACCCCCUUAGUGGUUAUUAAAGCGAGUGUUGGUCAGCGAUCUCUAUUGCGUGUUGUUACCCGUCCCUUCUUAAUGGUCCUGGAGGAAAUUUAGGACCUCUACUUAUAGGUAGUUCUAGACAGACCCCUAAGGUUUAAAGGAAAAAUACUAAGGCGACAAGCAAUAACACAUAGGACUCUUAGCAAAUAAGAACAGGAAGGAGCAAACAAAAGGCUCAGUUUACCUCUACAAAUAAGGCAUGGAAACAUCACGACUCAAACAUAUAUAAGGGCAACAAUAUCAUAAGACAUGAUGUCUAGGUGAGUAUCAGAACACAGUAGAUAUGCAGGUUCAUUUUGUAACUCAGAAGCAAAGGCCCUAAUCAGUUUGCCUACUGAUUCUAAGCCUGUUAAUCAUUAAGAAGUACACACAAAGGGUAAGGGGCAGUUUCCAAUUUUAUAAGAAAUUGGGAUUACAUAAGGCUUGCCUAGGUGUAGGAUAAUGCAUAAUUAUUACCAGAACCAUUAGAACAAUGAAAGAGUUAUUUACUUAAAAGCAUAUCCUUGACCUUCCGGCACUAGGCAGGUGUCAGCCCCCAUACAUGGUCUUACGACUUUGCGGAGACCUGUGUUUUUGGUAAACAGUCGCCCGGGCUUGGUCACUGCAACCCCCUUUGUGAGGAGGCACCCCUUCUCCCGAAGUUACGGGGCUAUUUUGCCAAGUUCCUUAAAGAGAGUUGUCUCGCGCCCCUAGGUAUUCUCUACCUACCCAUCUGUGUCGGUUUCGGGUACAGGUACCCUCUUGCUCAAAGUCGUUCGAGCUUUUCCUGGGAGUAUGGCAUGGGUUACUUCAGCGCCGUAGCGCCUGGUAUUCGAACAUUGGCUCGAGGCAUUUUCUCUACCCCUUCUUACCCUGACAAAGCAGGGACACCUUACGUUCUUGAACCGAUAACCAUCUUUU